Molecule: transfer RNA, 77 nt
Filed under: Clostridiales bacterium
Lineage: Bacteria; Bacillati; Bacillota; Clostridia; Eubacteriales
Description: tRNA-His
Rfam family: tRNA
About the family: Transfer RNA (tRNA) molecules are approximately 80 nucleotides in length. Their secondary structure includes four short double-helical elements and three loops (D, anti-codon, and T loops).
Source: RNAcentral
GUGGAUGUAGCUUAGCUGGUUAAAGCGCCAGAUUGUGGCUCUGGAGAUCGUGGGUUCGAAUCCCAUCUUCCACCCCA